RNA transcript from Hordeum vulgare subsp. vulgare (domesticated barley), 3441 nucleotides. It is a transcript of the gene named cytochrome P450 89A2-like, with no coding region annotated. NCBI's taxonomy places the organism in Eukaryota, Viridiplantae, Streptophyta, Magnoliopsida, Poales, Poaceae. The transcript has 9 exons. The record is from RefSeq and is a predicted model, not a curated record.
GCUCGCGAUGGCAGGCAGGCAGGCGGAGGCUCUCACUUCCUCCAUCUCCAUCCCCUCGAGACGUAAAAUCGUCAACCGCCCAUCCGGGCCAUGGACGCCAACUCGCGCCCCACCCAGGGGUCAGAUCCCGCGACCGGCGGCGGCGGCGGCGGCGGCGGCGCUGACCCGACCGCGCCGUCGGCGACUGGCGCGCAGCUCCAGCAAGAGGCGUGCGGCAAGAUCAUCAAUAAAAUCUUUGAUCUGGCCAUAUCCGUACACUCCGGCAGUCCAUCUUCCACCUUGCGCCGCUCCUCCGCGACCUGCACGCGCGCUACGGCCCCGUCAUCUCCAUCCGCCUCUUCCGCGCCCUCGUCUUUGUCUCCGACCGCCGCCUCGCCCAUCGCGUCCUCGUCCAGGGCGGCUCCACCUUCGCCGACCGGUCGCGGCUCUUCGAGCCGGGGCUCAUCUUCACGUUCGGCUCCCGCAACAUCAACGCCGCGCCCUACGGGCCUUACUGGCGCCUCGUCCGCCGCAACCUCGCUUCCGAGGCGCUGCACCCGGCCUGCGUCAGCCAGUUCGCGCCCGCGAGGCGCCAGAUGCGCGACACGCUCGUCCGCGACCUCCGCGUGCGCGCCGGUGCCGGAGACCCCGUAGAGGUGAGGACGCUGUUCUGGAACGCCAUGUUCAACCUGCUGGUGUACAUGAGCCUCGGUGUUAGGCUCGCCCCGGAGGUGCUCGACGAGAUGCAGGAUAUGCAGCUGUGGGUCGUCCGCGCCAUCAUCGGCUUCCCCAUCUUCUCCUUCUUCCCGGCGCUCACCAAGAGGCUCUUCCGCAAGCGAUGGGAGGCGCACCUUGCCGUCCCCCGGAGGCAGGACGAGAUAUUGCUCCUGCUGAUCGAAGCAAGGCGCUCUGUUUCCGUGCCCCGCGGCGCCGAUGACCCGCCGUGCUACGCCGACUCGCUUCUUGCGCUGCGCGUGGCGGACGAAGGCGACCGCCCGCUCACGGACUCUGAGCUCGUCAGCCUCUGCUCCGAGUUCUUGAGCGGUGGCACGAACAGCACGGUGACCUCGCUGGAGUGGAUCAUGGUGGAGCUGGUGAACCAUCCGGACAUGCAGGCCAAGGUCUACGAGGAGGUCAGGAGCAAGCCGGAGCUCAGCAGAGGCGACCUGCAGGGGAUGCCGUACCUGAAGGCCGUCGUCCUCGAGGGGUUGCGGCUCCACCCACCGGCCCACUUCCUCCUCCCUCACGGUGUACAGAGCGACAUGGAGAACGGCGGCUACAGGGUUCCCAAGGGCGCGGAGGUCAACUUCCUGAUCACCGAGUUCGGACGCUGGAGUCGACGAAUCUGCAGCGCUCUCUGUUGGGCGGCACUGUCGAGAUGCUGCCAGCAUGUUGCCAUUGCUGAACCCAAUCCCAGACAAAUUCGUGACUUUCACGUGGACAUAGCUGCAAGACAGCCGAGGAGAGGCUGCAUCGCCGCGCGUGGCGACGGUCGUGUGUUCUCUGGUGAUGGGGACGAUUGUCAGCUAGCUUAGUGCAACAGCCUAUCAUGUAUGCAGAGGAAGAACUCAACAAUCACACAUGCAAGCUAACAUUGAUCAAUUAUUAAGGUUGAACACUUAUGCUCCCAUUGCAAGGCAUAAACAUAUUUUCUAUGUGAUUAGUGUGGCUUUUUUCCCUCUCCUUCCGUGGCAACGCACGGGCGCUAAGAUAAUUCCGAUGAGUUAUCCCUAUGAAGAUCUCGAGCCCGCCAUGGUAGGACAACUUCGACCAUGGAGCGGAGCCCAGCGAGCGGGGUCCGGCACGUGCGGCAAGUGAUUUUUUGUUCUUAUUGACGACUUGUUCCUGCACAUACGUCUGGAGAAAGCAGAUGUAUAUGAUGCUGACUUUGAGAGGCUGAACUGAAGAACGUAAAAAAAAGAGGCUGAACUGAAUUAGGUUGAUAUGAAGGGAUUAACAGCGGAUCAACGGGCCACCAUAGUGGUGGUGGUCCGUGAUAUUUUAAGAUCAAACGGUGAGGCGAGCUCAGUUUGCACAGUCCUCCCCAAUGACCAUUUCAGAGCCUGGACAUAAGUAAAUUUCUGGUUGGUGUAUUUUCUACCUGUUCUAGCGACCAUUGUGCGCAAUUUAAACUAGCACGCCCGAUUAUGUUCUGUGGGUGUGCCCUCGGCUUGCAUGUAUCUUAUUAGAUACAAACAACCUUUCCAAGAUGGGCUCAGAAAAAGAUUCAGAAGCAGUGUGAUCGCCUCUUGUUCGGUAGCUCUGAACAUAAGAGGCAAUAAUUAUUUCAACAAUGUAAUGUACUACUCUUCAUUUGACAUCGAUUUACAAACAUAACAUGUAUGGAGAAGUUGCAACAUCUUUUAGUAAUAACUGUUGGUAACUUUGACAUUUCUUUGGACCAGUGAUGCUUACUCACAAUGAUCAUUCUUUGUCGAGUUCUUGAAGAACACCUACAGAAAGUCAUCCAUGGAUGAUAAGUUUUCUCCAUAAUAUCUUCACAUGGUUCCUCACCUACUUUUAGGAAAUUCUUUGCUUAAGUUACUGUAUAUUUAUCCAUGUCAAAGAUAAAUUUGCAAUAUGCUCAUUAAACUAAAACGUCAUUGAUGAAUUAUUGUUGUUCAGAUUAACUAGGUGAUGUGUACAGUCCCCCAAGCAAAAAUCAUUCAAUGUACUCUGCUUAUUUAUUCUGUCCAUGUUGUGUUUUCUCCUAUAAGUUGCAUGCUUGUUACAUAGGUCUGAAUUCCUACAGGCUCAGGAGGAUCUCAAUAUUGCUAAAGAAAGAGAUAAGGAUCAGCACUAUAAUUGUUGAAAAAAACUCAGAUACAUGUACCAUAUGAAUUAUCAUAUGCAGCGGGCACAAUAUGCUUUCUACAUGCCAUUUUCUUAUUGACUAAACAGUCUAAACCUGAGUACAUGACAAUUUUCAGUUCUCGUGUAAUUUGAACUCCUACCGGUUCAGAUUUCAGCAUUCCCUGCAAUUCUUGAUUUGCGUCGUGCUGCAGCACACAUGGCUCGUCGUCCUACCUGCUUCUGUGCCCUCUACUUCUUCCCACAAGAUUGAGUGGCAUGGGUUCUCAUUGGGCAAAUAAAGGUUAAGCUCGAGAUGAAACUUUUGGCGGAGAUACAGUUUUGAUAUACAACUUUACUUGGCUUUUAAUCCAUGUGGUACAGAAUUAUGUGAUGAUGGAGGAUGGAGCUGUCCUUUGAAGAAUUGUUUAAUGAACUAAAAAGUAGAAACAUCGUGUCUUGUUCAUGUGCCAAAUCAGCAUUGCAAUGCGCUGACUCAUGUGUGGCAUCCGUCUAUGUUGAUUAAUGGAACCUUUGAUAAUCAGUAGAUGCAUGCAUCACCUAUGAUAAUUAAUAUAUGUCAGGUACAAUAUUUGUCCAUGUGUUGUAUUUAAUUUGUAAAGUCAAUGUGUGUAGCACAAUGAAACGGAAGAGGUUUAAGUGGUCCAUCAA